This 2396-nucleotide ribosomal RNA is filed under the name Actinomyces sp. HMSC065F11. Its description in RNAcentral is "bacterial LSU rRNA". It matches the Rfam family "Bacterial large subunit ribosomal RNA", at positions 582 to 2826 of the family's 2925-position model. Lineage: Bacteria; Bacillati; Actinomycetota; Actinomycetes; Actinomycetales; Actinomycetaceae. The record is from RNAcentral.
UUUUUUUGGGGUUGUGGUGAUGGCGUGCCUAUUGAAAAAUGAGCCUGCGAGUUAGUGAUGCGUGGCGAGGUUAACCCUUUGUGGGGUAGUCGUAGCGAAAGCGAGUCUUAAUUGGGCGCCCAGUCGCGUGUUCUAGACCCGAAGCGGGGUGAUCUACCCAUGGCCAGGUUGAAGCGAUUGUAAAAGGUCGUGGAGGACCGUACCCACCUAGGUUGAAAACUGGGGGGAUGAGUUGUGGGUAGGGGUGAAAGGCUAAUCAAACUCCGUGAUAGCUGGUUCUCCCCGAAAUGCAUUUAGGUGCAGCGUUCUGCGUGUGUUGUUGUGGUGGUAGAGCUACUGGUUGGUUGAUGGGCCGUUUUGGUUACUGACGUCAGCUAAACUCCGAAUGCCAUUGAUAAUUGCAGGGCAGUGAGACUGCGGGGGAUAAGCUUCGUAGUCGAGAGGGAAACAGCCCAGAUCAUCGGUUAAGGCCCCUAAGGGUGUGCUGAGUGGGAAAGGAUGUGGAGUUGCAUAGACAACCAGGAGGUUGGCUUAGAAGCAGCCAUCCUUGAAAGAGUGCGUAAUAGCUCACUGGUCAAGUGAUUCCGCGCCGACAAUGUAGCGGGGCUUAAGCACACCGCCGAAACCGUGGCAAAAAAUGUUUUUGUUUUUUGGGUAGGGGAGCGUCCUGACUGGGGUGAAGCAGGCCUGUGAGGGUUUGUGGACUGGUUGGGAGUGAGAAUGCAGGCAUGAGUAGCGAGUGGUGGGUGAGAAUCCCACGCGCCGAUUGACUAAGGGUUCCAGGGCAAGGUUUAUCCGCCCUGGGUUAGUCGGGUCCUAAGGCGAGGCCGACAGGCGUAGUCGAUGGAUGACCAGUUGAUAUUCUGGUACCGGUUUUUUCUUGUCCAGUGCUGACAAAGUUGUGCUAACCAACGCCGUGAUGGUGGUGAUUCCUUCGGGUUUUAUCGCCUAGUGGUCUUGGGGUCCCUUCUUGGGUAGGCAAGCGUGUUAACAGGGGUGACGCAGUAGGGUAGCUGAUGCUGGCCGGUGGUUGUGCCAGUCUAAGGUUGUGGCCCGCAUGCUAGGUAAAUCCGGUGUGCUGUCUUUGAUGAUAAGGGUGAGGGCUGAUGGGACUGCCACUUAUAGUGGUGGUUAUUGGUGUGCCUGUGCUGUCUAGAAAAGCCUCGACGUUAGAGGAAAACCGCCCGUACCCUAAACCGACUCAGGUAGUUAGGUAGAGUAUACUAAGGCGUGCGAGUGAAUCAUGGUUAAGGAACUCGGCAAAAUGCCCCCGUAACUUCGGGAUAAGGGGGACCAGGCCCGGACAAGUACUAUUUUUCUGGUUUUUGUUUGGGUGUGGUCGCAGUGAUUUGGAAGAAGCGACUGUUUACUAAAAACAUAGGUGUGUGCGAAGCUGUAAGGCGAUGUAUACGCACUGACGCCUGCCCGGUGCUGGAAGGUUAAGCGGAAGGCUCAACCCCCUUGUGGGGUGAAGGUUUGAAGUUAAGCCCCAGUAAACGGCGGUGGUAACUAUAACCAUCCUAAGGUAGCGAAAUUCCUUGUCGGGUAAGUUCCGACCUGCACGAAUGGCGUAACGACUUCUUCGCUGUCUCGACCAUGAACUCGGUGAAAUUGCAUUACGAGUAAAGAUGCUCGUUUCGCGCAGCAGGACGGAAAGACCCCGGGACCUUUACUAUAGCUUGGUAUUGGUAGCCGGUUGUGUUUGUGUAGGAUAGGUGGGAGACUGUGAAGCCGCUACGCUAGUGGUGGUGGAGUCGUUGUUGAAAUACCACUCUGAUAUAAACGGUUAUCUAACCUUGGUCCGUGAUCCGGAUUGGGGACAGUGCCUGGUGGGUAGUUUAACUGGGGCGGUUGCCUCCUAAAUGGUAACGGAGGCGCUCAAAGGUCUUCUCAGCCUGGUUGGUAAUCAGGUGUUGAGUGUAAGUGUAGAAGAAGGCUUGACUGUGACACUGACGGGUGGAGCAGGUGCGAAAGCAGGAACUAGUGAUCCGGCCGUGGUUCGUGGAAACGCGGUCGCUCAACGGAUAAAAGGUACCCCGGGGAUAACAGGCUGAUCUUGCCCAAGAGUCCAUAUCGACGGCAUGGUUUGGCACCUCGAUGUCGGCUCGUCGCAUCCUGGGGCUGGAGUCGGUCCCAAGGGUUGGGCUGUUCGCCCAUUAAAGCGGUACGCGAGCUGGGUUUAGAACGUCGUGAGACAGUUCGGUCCCUAUCCGCUGCGCGCGUAGGAAACUUGAGAAGGCCUGUCCCUAGUACGAGAGGACCGGGACGGACAAGCCUCUGGUGUGCCAGUUGUACCGCCAGGUGCAUGGCUGGUUAGCUACGCUUGGGAAGGAUAACCGCUGAAAGCAUCUAAGCGGGAAGCCUGCUUCAAGACAAGGUUUCCAUCCCCCUCUUGG